This 524-nucleotide ribosomal RNA is filed under the name uncultured bacterium. RNAcentral's name for it is "partial 16S ribosomal RNA". It matches the Rfam family "Bacterial small subunit ribosomal RNA", at positions 38 to 536 of the family's 1533-position model. The record is from RNAcentral.
AUUGAACGCUGGCGGCAGGCCUAACACAUGCAAGUCGAGCGGAUGAAGGGAGCUUGCUCCUGGAUUCAGCGGCGGACGGGUGAGUAAUGCCUAGGAAUCUGCCUGGUAGUGGGGGAUAACGUCCGGAAACGGGCGCUAAUACCGCAUACGUCCUGAGGGAGAAAGUGGGGGAUCUUCGGACCUCACGCUAUCAGAUGAGCCUAGGUCGGAUUAGCUAGUUGGUGGGGUAAAGGCCUACCAAGGCGACGAUCCGUAACUGGUCUGAGAGGAUGAUCAGUCAGACGGGAGGGGAGACACGGGGCACAAGGCGGGGGGAGGCAGCAGAGGAGAAUGGGGGACAGGGGGAGAAGGGUGGAUGCGACGAUGCGGCGUGGGGGAAGUAGUGCUGAGGGUGUAAAAGAAUAUUAAGGGGGGAGGAAGGGAAGUAAGUUCAUACCUUGUUGUUAUGACGUAAAAACAAGAAGAAGCCCCAGCUACCUUCGUGCCAGCAGCGGCGGUAAUAGAUCGAACAGAACAUUCUGAAC